Molecule: ribosomal RNA, 442 nt
Filed under: uncultured bacterium
Lineage: Bacteria
Description: bacterial SSU rRNA
Rfam family: Bacterial small subunit ribosomal RNA
Source: RNAcentral
ACUCCUACGGGAGGCAGCAGUGGGGAAUAUUGCACAAUGGGCGCAAGCCUGAUGCAGCCAUGCCGCGUGUAUGAAGAAGGCCUUCGGGUUGUAAAGUACUUUCAGCAGUGAGGAAGGUGGAUAUGUUAAUAGCAUAUUCAUUUGACGUUAGCUGCAGAAGAAGCACCGGCUAACUCCGUGCCAGCAGCCGCGGUAAUACGGAGGGUGCGAGCGUUAAUCGGAAUUACUGGGCGUAAAGCGCAUGCAGGUGGUUUGUUAAGUCAGAUGUGAAAGCCCGGGCUCAACCUCGGAAUUGCAUUUGAAACUGGCAAACUAGAGUACUGUAGAGGGGGUAGAAUUUCAGGUGUAGCGGUGAAAUGCGUAGAGAUCUGAAGGAAUACCGGUGGCGAACGGCGGCCCCCGUGGACAGAUACUGACACUCAGAUGCGAAAGCGUGGGAGCG